AACGAACGCUGGCGGCAGGCUUAACACAUGCAAGUCGAGCGCCCCGCAAGGGGAGCGGCAGACGGGUGAGUAACGCGUGGGAACGUACCUUUUGGUUCGGAACAACUCCGGGAAACUGGAGCUAAUACCGGAUAAGCCCUAACGGGGAAAGAUUUAUCGCCGAAAGAUCGGCCCGCGUCUGAUUAGCUAGUUGGUGAGGUAACGGCUCACCAAGGCGACGAUCAGUAGCUGUUCUGAGAGGAUGAUCAGCCACACUGGGACUGAGACACGGCCCAGACUCCUACGGGAAGCAGCAGUGGGGAAUAUUGGACAAUGGGCGCAAGACUGAUCCAGCCAUGCCGCGUGAGUGAUGAAGGCCUUAGGGUUGUAAAGCUCUUUUGUCCGGGAAGAUAAUGACUGUACCGGAAGAAUAAGCCCCGGCUAACUUCGUG
Molecule: ribosomal RNA, 431 nt
Filed under: uncultured bacterium
Lineage: Bacteria
Description: partial 16S ribosomal RNA
Rfam family: Bacterial small subunit ribosomal RNA
Source: RNAcentral